RNAcentral lists this long non-coding RNA (5231 nucleotides) under Brassica napus (rape). RNAcentral's name for it is "long non-coding RNA (BNAP_LNC016695)". Lineage: Eukaryota; Viridiplantae; Streptophyta; Magnoliopsida; Brassicales; Brassicaceae. The record is from RNAcentral.
GACGAGACGCCUAGCUUCGGCCUGAAAAACGCAGAGGAGGAGGAAGAGCCCGAACCGUUUCUCAUAGCCACGUAACAAUCCAUGCCCCACCCAGUCUUGGCAUCGCUCACCGUUCCGUUAUUACUCCACGCGCCUUCGAUUCUAUCUAGGUUCCCGCACAGGACCAUUUCCUCCUUAUCGUACACCUCGAAAUCGACGCACCCCGUGACGCGCACCGCCUCCGUGCUGACGUAAGUCACCUCCGACGAUUCCCGGUCCACUCUGUCGCGUCGGAGUUUUAGAGACGCCGUCUGCAGGGGAGGAACGCGGACGCCGUUGACCUCGAGAGAAGCGCCGGUUUCGCGGCGAGGGUGGCGGAGGGUGAGGGAGUCGGGGACGUUCUCAACGAAGCAGGGGGCGAUGCGGACGUAGAACAGACGAACCUCCAGCCACGCCGAUUGAGACAAUUGAACUGAUGCCGGCGACGCCGCGACGGCGGAGGCUUUCAUGUGGAAUGAUUUGGAUGAUGUACCCAAAGGAUCCGGAUGAUGAUGAUGAUGAUGAUGAUGAUCCCUCGAAAUCAUCGGUUCAAAUGGAUUGAUGACGAGAGAAUUCAAGGCGAUUGAUGAACGGAGAAAUGAAUUUUGUCGUUUUCGUUCGAGGUUAGGUUUUUGGGGUUUGAGAUAUAUAUUUUUCAAGGUAAAAAAAGGGUCAAAAUUAUAGUUUUUUGUUUGAAGACGCGGUAAAAACGGAGAGAUUGGUCAAAGGAGAAACCGACAAGAUAAAAAAUACUCACUCUUACGAGGAUUAUCACGACACGCACGUGUGACAGUUUUGUUUGUUUGUUUUGAAUGCUAAUUAAUAUGAUAACUGGGCCACAAUUUCGUAUUCCUUUAAGUUUGGACUUGGGCCUCAUCAGAUGCUAUCAAUCGCAAAGACCCAUGAUCUGCACGUUGAAACUUGAAAUCAUCAUAGAAAACUCGCAGAAUAAGCAUGGAGUGUGAUACCGUCUGCCGUAGUGUUGUCUUUAGUAGUGUAAAUCAGUGUACGUAGUUAGUGUUUUCGUACGAUUAUAUUUACAUUCUAUAACAAAGUACGUUUCAUCAAUUUCUAUUUAUUUUAUUUUAUUAACAAUCUAUUUAACAAAGAGUGUAUAACUUCAGUUCCUGAUCCACGAAACUAGAGGAUAAUUAGUGGGGGCAUAAACUGGUUUUCAUUAGUUUAUGGGUGCACUAAACAGAGUUUUCAUAAUUAUUUAGCUAGUUUAUCUAGUUUUGCCUUGGAAAAUUUUGAAAUUACAAAAAAACAAUGGGUGCAUGUUCCUCUCUCUCAAUGCAACUAAGUGUAUAUAUAUGUAGCUAACUAUACCAAAAUUAUGCCAAUUUAGGUGUUUUUCGAGCGCAAAUUUAUGAUAAAACUUUAUGAAUGAUGAUGUUUCCGCGUUUACCAAACUUACUAAUGCGUGCCUGAAUUAUAAUGCGUUUCAUUUGCCAAAAGUUAAUGAUGUACGUAGUUCUGUUUUUUUUUUCUAGAUAAGGUCACCUUUUAUAUCUGCAAACCUAAUAUUAUAAUAAUGAUUCAUAAAGAAAUAUCAUUCUACUCAUUUGGAUCAUUGACCGUACCCCCAAAUCCUCUUUUAGUCACAGCAAUUAUAUUCUUCCCUAUACGUACUUUUCUAUAAUUUUAGAAAGAAAAAUUGUGACCCGUUGGAGCAUAUACCAUUAGGAGAUCACACACCAUUCAAUCUCAGAUCUUGUCGGAUAAAUCUGACCAGCUUUGGAUAUAUAUUUAUAGGCCGGUUGUAAUGUUUUCUUCUUCCUCCUCUUUUUGAUAACACCGAAAAGACCGGGGCUUGUCACUUCAUCAUCAAGUUUAGUAGGCGAACUUAAAUGAUUCCUAAGGCAUCAAAAACUAAUUACGUUCUACUUUUUUAUUAUAGAAUUUGCAGUUCAUGUUUAUGUCCCGUAACUUAAGAUCCAUGUCGGAGGUCUACUUAGUUGGUUUUACUUGUUUAAUUUGCAUCAUGCAGUAUGAUUUUGACUGUAGUUUAGAUUCUCAUUUGUUAGUUGAUCGGUUGAACUAAACAAAUGCAUUUCGUAACUUUUAAUCAUCAUUUAAUUCGUAGUCAGGAUUUACGCUGACGCUGGAUUAUAAUAAUGCUUUAAACAUUAAUUAACUGACGAUAUACUUUGUUUUUGCCUUAAUUUAUACUAGUCUUUUAGCAAAAAAAAAAAUUUAUACUAGUCUUCAGUUGUGUAUUGCAUUAAGAUCAAUCGUUGUUUUUUAUACAUGUACAGUUAUAAGGAAUCUAUACUCUCCCUAUCUAAUGUCCUUUUACGUAUUUCCAUAAAUGCAUUUGAAAAAGUCUUAUCGUUACCUAAGUAGCACGACGUCAUUUCUGAGACAAGUAAAGGGAGUAAACUAAGGCUUCAUUAGACCCGUAGUUAACAGUAACAAAAAUCUCUGCAUAUACCAUAUAUCUAUAUGUUUUUUAUAACUGUUAAAACCGCACCGCAGUUGAACCGCUUGUCCUACACCGGUUUAAUAAACCGCAGUUACCAUUGGAGCCUAAAAUGAAACGAGUUAGACCUUUAACGUCUUAUACGUAAUUUUAAAUGUCAAAACUAGCAAACCCAUUACUAGCGGCUGCAAGUACAAUAUUCAAUUUCAAACCAUCAACCAUUUAAAUUUGGUCAAACCAUAAAGCAAAGUAUUUUUGUCUAUAGAAUUAUCUUCUCGUCUAGAGUUUGCUAUAAAUGAAUGAAUAAAUGAUGAAGUGUUAAGAGGUUAUUACCCAAGUCCUCCUACUCCUAGGACCAGGAUUCAACGGCCCAGAUCGGAAGCUGAAGAUGGAAGCAUCGACGGGAUGCUAAAAGCUGAAUUUAAUCUCUUGAAUUUAUUAGAAGCCGACUUUUUUAAAUAACCAUAUCCCACUAUAAUAUCUUCUCAUUUGCUAAACCCGCAGUGUGCUAAAGCGCGACCCAAACACAAUCCAUUAUUACUAUUUUUGUUAGAAUUUUCGAAAAAUAUAAGAACCUAUAUAUCGUGGACGUAAAUUAUUUAAAAGAGAAAUUAAAUUAAUUUACGUGGGCGCACACGUGGAAAUUGUAGCUGUUUCCCACUACGCUUGUAGUUUCUGUAUUAAUUUAUUUUAUUAGAUUUUUGGCUGUGAGAAUAUUAUUUGUCUUUGUUUGGGGAAUCGAAUUCGUGUAGAACUGGGAAACUGAUGGUGGGAUAGUGAGGACUCAAUUAUUAGAUAAUUUUUGAAAUAUAGUAUAAAUUUCAGGAGAAAAAUCAAUCAUAGAAUUGUAGAUUUAGACAUAAUUUCAAAGAGUGAUAUUGUAAUAAAAUACACUAUAACAAAACUUUUGUUGUGUCUUCCUUUACAUAUUUACAAAGAAAAAAAAAACUGAAUAAACAACCAACAACCUUAUUGGAUAUUGCAACAUGUUUCUCGGCACCAUUGUAUUGUAUAAAAAGACAACUAGUAUAAAUUUAUUCUCGUCCAAAAAGAAAAAUACAUGAAUUAAAAAUAUAAUUAUAAAAUUUCAAGUUAGGAAUUUGGCCAUCUUUUAAACCUCAGGGACGGUGGAUUUUGGAAGCUUUGCAAUAAGUUGUGUGGUGGAGAAUCCAAAAAGAAGAAAGAGUAACCAAUAGAAGGGCUGAUCUCAUUGCUAGAAGUGUAACCAAAAAGCUGAGAACUCGAUCUUAUGUGGCAACAGGUGCUCCUGUGUGGCUCAGACAUAUCUUUGACAGUGAGAGAAGCUCCCAUCGGCGAUGCGGCUGAGAGGGACGUAUUCGACGCCAGCAACGCCGGCGAGUGAGUCCUGCUCGAGCGCACAAUCCUCCACACAGUUGAGUGUGACGACGAGAGGAGACGGCUGGUCACGAUGGGGCAUUGUCGCAGACGGACGGAUCUUGCUCAUCUUCUCCUUCUCGCUGCUACUCCCGAGGACUAAAGGACAUCUUAGAAAUAUUGGGAAUUAGGGUUGAAUCUUGUAAAUUCGCAACAAUACAGGGGCUAAACGUUGAAUUUAUAAAUAAUUUAAAGGGGUAUCCCAUACAUAUUUUCUUUUAAAUUCAACAGCAUUAGUCCGAAUCUACAUGCUGAUGCUCGCCGUAAUACGACGCCGUUCCAAGUUAACAGUAUAUACAUCAGCUUAUGACGUUUACAAUGCCAAAACAGACUACACAAGUGAAACAUGUACACUUCCUAUGUCGUAUUAUUUCUUCUUGACCAGGAAGAAAACACAAGCUCCAGAGUGUAGCAGCGACAACAAACACGAAGCAACAAAUAUUUGAAUAAAAACAAAAGCAUUUUGCAAGACGGGAACACUCACUCACUUGUGCACUGUGUUAUAUGAACAAAGCCGACUAUAAGCGAUGAAAAAACGAAAAAGAAGUCUAUACAGCUAUCUACCAAAAUUCUAUCUCCGCUUCUUUCUUUCUAUAACAUCUCGACAUGCCUCAGGUAGAUUGAUGAUCAGAAGAACCUCCUACGAAGGUUACUAGUAGUAGCAUGAUAUGAGCGCAUGAGCAAUCCAACUCCAAUGCCAACGCCAAGGCACAUCCCAAGGCCUAUCCCAACUCCAACUCUGACACCUGCAUUGAACCACGAGAGUUGACCAUCCUCAUCCACGUACAUCCCUUCAGGGUAGUACCUCAUCUUCAUCUCAGACUCAUCAUCAACUUCUGACUCCAUCAUCUGCAUUAAACCAAAAAUCAAAUCUCCACCCUAACUUAAGAAUCGUCAUGAACAAACUAUCAACACAGAAGCAUACUUUCUGUUGGCGGGGGAAUUCAUCAUCCCCAGUGGUAACAACGCCUUGCUCCUCGUCCUCCGGGAUAGCGUCGAGCGUCACGUGCCUGGCCACCUUCCUCCUCGGACUCGCCUGAAUGGUCUUAGUCAAGAUGACCGGAACACCGCCACAGCAACCAGCUAUGUAAACCUCCACGGAGGGAGACGAGACGCCUAGCUUCGGCCUGAAAAACGCAGAGGAGGAGGAAGAGCCCGAACCGUUUCUCAUAGCCACGUAACAAUCCAUGCCCCACCCAGUCUUGGCAUCGCUCACCGUUCCGUUAUUACUCCACGCGCCUUCGAUUCUAUCUAGGUUCCCGCACAGGACCAUUUCCUCCUUAUCGUACACCUCGAAAUCGACGCACCCCGUGACGCGCACCGCCUCCGUGCUGACGUAAGUCACCUCCGACGAUUCCCGGUCCACUCUGUCGCGUCGGAGUUUUAGAGACGCCGU